GACAGAGGGGGCAAGCGUUGCUCGGAAUUACUGGGCGUAAAGGGCGCGUAGGCGGGAUGGCAAGUCGGUCGUGAAAUCCUUCGGCUCAACCGAAGAACGUCGAUCGAUACUGCUGUUCUUGAGGGUUGCAGAGGAGACUGGAAUUCCCGGUGUAGCGGUGAAAUGUGUAGAGAUCGGGAGGAACACCGGUGGCGAAGGCGGGUCUCUGGACAGUUCCUGACACUGAGGCACGAAGGCCAGGGGAGCAAACGGG
RNAcentral lists this ribosomal RNA (253 nucleotides) under uncultured bacterium. RNAcentral's name for it is "partial 16S ribosomal RNA". It matches the Rfam family "Bacterial small subunit ribosomal RNA", at positions 524 to 776 of the family's 1533-position model. The record is from RNAcentral.